RNAcentral lists this ribosomal RNA (253 nucleotides) under uncultured bacterium. RNAcentral describes it as "partial 16S ribosomal RNA". It matches the Rfam family "Bacterial small subunit ribosomal RNA", at positions 524 to 776 of the family's 1533-position model. The record is from RNAcentral.
CACGUAGGGCGCAAGCGUUGUCCGGAAUUAUUGGGCGUAAAGAGCUCGUAGGCGGUCUGUUGCGUCUGCUGUGAAAACCCGAGGCUCAACCUCGGGCCUGCAGUGGGUACGGGCAGACUAGAGUGCGGUAGGGGAGAAUGGAAUUCCUGGUGUAGCGGUGGAAUGCGCAGAUAUCAGGAGGAACACCAAUUGCGAAGGCAGCUCGCUGGGACGGUACUGACGCUGAGACGCGAAAGCGUGGGGAGCAAACAGG